RNAcentral lists this long non-coding RNA (503 nucleotides) under Capsella grandiflora. RNAcentral's name for it is "long non-coding RNA (CGRA_LNC000352)". The record is from RNAcentral. Lineage: Eukaryota; Viridiplantae; Streptophyta; Magnoliopsida; Brassicales; Brassicaceae.
CAAUAACAGAAAAAAAUAUUACAGAAUAGAAGAAAUGGUCACACAAAAAUAAAACACCAUUCAUAAUUUCAUAUUGAUAUUCUGAUUCCAGAACCAAAAAAAAAAAAUGAAAUAGCAAGAUCUGCCCAGAGUAUAUUACUACACACAUAUUGUCAAUUGUAUUAUGAUGGGCCGAAAAUGGCCCAAUAUAAUUUGGGCCGCAACAUUUCACCUUUGCGACGGUCCGAGCCCAGCUUCAUGACUUCUCUUCUUCAAGCUGCAUACAUGAUGAUACAAGUGGAACAAUGAAAAGAAAAUGAUCAUCGCAAAUCAAACAUUUCAAUUGGAAAAAGCGAACGAGAAUUAUCGAUCGAAUGAAUCGAUGCCGAAAUUCCCAACAUACCAUAAAUUCUCCGGGUCGAUUUCUCCAAUGUUCAAGAGAUUAAACCGGAAUUUCACCGGUUCAGGAUUAAACCGGAAUUUCACCGGUUCAGGAUUAAACCGGUACGCUACACCCCAAUUCA